This 21-nucleotide non-coding RNA is filed under the name Mus musculus (house mouse). Lineage: Eukaryota; Metazoa; Chordata; Mammalia; Rodentia; Muridae. The record is from RNAcentral.
UGUUGUUCCACCUAUAGGGUU